RNAcentral lists this ribosomal RNA (439 nucleotides) under uncultured bacterium. RNAcentral describes it as "partial 16S ribosomal RNA". It matches the Rfam family "Bacterial small subunit ribosomal RNA", at positions 339 to 795 of the family's 1533-position model. The record is from RNAcentral.
CUACGGGUCGCUGCAGUGAGGAAUAUUGCACAAUGGGGGGAACCCUGAUGCAGCAACGCCGCGUGGAGGGUGACGCAUUUCGGUGUGUAAACUCCUUUUAUAUGUCAAGAAAAUGACGGUAGCAUAUGAAUAAGCACCGGCUAACUCCGUGCCAGCAGCCGCGGUAAUACGGAGGGUGCAAGCGUUACUCGGAAUCACUGGGCGUAAAGGACGCGUAGGCGGGUUGGAAAGUCAGGUGUGAAAUCCUACAGCUUAACUGUAGAACUGCACUUGAAACUUCUAACCUAGAGUAUGGGAGGGGGAGAUGGAAUUAGUGGUGUAGGGGUAAAAUCCGUAGAUAUCACUAGGAAUACCUAAAGCGAAGGCGAUCUCCUGGAACAUUACUGACGCUAAGGCGUGAAAGCGUGGGGAGCAAACAGGAUUAGAUACCCGCGUAGUC